UGCAGCCGGGGAGAUAGCGGUGCCCUGUAUCUGCAAUCCGCUUUAGCAGAGGUGAUGUCUCCUCCCGGAGCGUUGAUUGCGAAGCUGCCCUGUUUGGUGGGACGUUGAUGUCAGGGUCCCGCGCAAUGAGAUCCCGUGAACCGUGUCAGGUCAGGAAUGAAGCAGCACUAAGCGGAUAAUUUCAUGUGCCGUGGGAUAGCCUUGGCUGAGUUUUGCCGGCAGGUA
This 225-nucleotide signal recognition particle RNA is filed under the name uncultured Catonella sp. RNAcentral describes it as "Bacterial large signal recognition particle RNA". It matches the Rfam family "Bacterial large signal recognition particle RNA", at positions 7 to 225 of the family's 256-position model. Rfam says of the family: The signal recognition particle (SRP) is a universally conserved ribonucleoprotein involved in the co-translational targeting of proteins to membranes. Archaeal SRP consists of a 7S RNA and homologues of the eukaryotic SRP19 and SRP54 proteins. Lineage: Bacteria; Bacillati; Bacillota; Clostridia; Lachnospirales; Lachnospiraceae. The record is from RNAcentral.